RNAcentral lists this ribosomal RNA (675 nucleotides) under Psychrobacter sp. RNAcentral describes it as "bacterial SSU rRNA". It matches the Rfam family "Bacterial small subunit ribosomal RNA", at positions 33 to 704 of the family's 1533-position model. The record is from RNAcentral. Lineage: Bacteria; Pseudomonadati; Pseudomonadota; Gammaproteobacteria; Moraxellales; Moraxellaceae.
AAGCGUGGCGCGGCUUACACAUGCAGUCGAGCGGUAACAUUUCUAGCUUGCUAGAAGAUGACGAGCGGCGGACGGGUGAGUAAUACUUAGGAAUCUACCUAGUAGUGGGGGAUAGCUCGGGGAAACUCGAAUUAAUACCGCAUACGACCUACGGGAGAAAGGGGGCAACUUGUUGCUCUCGCUAUUAGAUGAGCCUAAGUCGGAUUAGCUAGAUGGUGGGGUAAAGGCCUACCAUGGCGACGAUCUGUAGCUGGUCUGAGAGGAUGAUCAGCCACACCGGGACUGAGACACGGCCCGGACUCCUACGGGAGGCAGCAGUGGGGAAUAUUGGACAAUGGGGGAAACCCUGAUCCAGCCAUGCCGCGUGUGUGAAGAAGGCCUUUUGGUUGUAAAGCACUUUAAGCAGUGAAGAAGACUCUAUGGUUAAUACCCAUAGACGAUGACAUUAGCUGCAGAAUAAGCACCGGCUAACUCUGUGCCAGCAGCCGCGGUAAUACAGAGGGUGCAAGCGUUAAUCGGAAUUACUGGGCGUAAAGGGAGCGUAGGUGGCUCGAUAAGUCAGAUGUGAAAUCCCCGGGCUUAACCUGGGAACUGCAUCUGAUACUGUUGAGCUAGAGUAUGUGAGAGGGAGGUAGAAUUUCAGGUGUAGCGGUGAAAUGCGUAGAGAUCUGAAGG